Molecule: ribosomal RNA, 405 nt
Filed under: uncultured Mitsuokella sp.
Lineage: Bacteria; Bacillati; Bacillota; Negativicutes; Selenomonadales; Selenomonadaceae
Description: bacterial SSU rRNA
Rfam family: Bacterial small subunit ribosomal RNA
Source: RNAcentral
UGGGGGAAUCUUCCGCAAUGGGCGCAAGCCUGACGGAGCAACGCCGCGUGAGUGAAGAAGGGUUUCGACUCGUAAAGCUCUGUUGUCGGGGACGAAUGUGGAGAUGGUGAAUAACCAUUUCUAAUGACGGUACCUGACGAGGAAGCCACGGCUAACUACGUGCCAGCAGCCGCGGUAAAUACGUAGGUGGCGAGCGUUGUCCGGAAUUAUUGGGCGUAAAGGGAGCGCAGGCGGGAAGGUAAGUCUAUCUUAAAAGUGCGGGGCUCAACCCCGAGGAUUGCCUUUGGAACUGUUUUGCUGGAGUGCUGGAGGGGCAGGCGGAAUUCCUGGUGUAGCGGUGAAAUGCGUAGAUAUCAGGAGGAACACCGGUGGCGAAGGCGGCCUGCUGGACAGUAACUGACGCUG